GGGAGAGAAAUGCUGCCAGUUGCCAUGAUGAGUAGCAAGAUGUAAGUUACUGCUGAGAAAACUUCAUCAAGUCACAAGACUGGGAGGAGAAACUGUGCGUAAAGGAAUUCACAGAAAUCCGGGCAAGAUUCCCAAAGUAAAUGAUGUUGAUUCUCGGCACAAAGGAGGGCUUUGCUGCUGAUGGUUGAACUCACAGAAACAGUCAUUGCCUGUUUGUGACAGACUUGCUAUUUUUGAAUUUUUCUAAUUUCAGAAAAGUGACCAUAGUAAGUGUUAUUUAAACACUGAGAGCCCUUGGAAAUGUCUAAACACUGUACCCAGCGCCUGAGGGGCACAAGAGGGUCCUUGUCCUAGGAGACUGGUCUACACAGCCUUGUAUGUGGGAGUGGUGCCAAGUGGACCUUCAGUUAGCCCUACGUGGCUGUUGGAUCCCAGCUCCUUCCUGGUAUGAAGCAGGCCAAAGGGACCCCUAAUGUCUCCGGAGAAGAGCAACUCUUUAGCCAGUGUGAAUCUCAUUCAUUUACUCUCCAAGCCCUCACCUCUCAGCUUUCCCAGCUGAGUGGCUCUCAAGUUUUGGGGCACCCACAUGAUCUGGAACUAUAUAAAGAUGCACAUUCCCAAGCUCUCCCUGAGAAGAGUUCCUUUCUACCGGUCCAGGGACAGUUUUCAGCAGCUUCCUUUUGAUGACAACCAGGUGAUUCCUUGGUACCAGGUUGAUUUCACAUCUGUUGAUUUGUUUGGAUAUUUAUUUAUUUAUUGCUUUGUUCUGUUUUGUUUAUACUCAGCUGGCCUCAAACUCUCAGAAGUCCUCCAGUCUCACACUCUCAAGUGCUGGGAUUAUGAACUUGGGUCACCAUGCCCAGUUUAUAGAACUCUUAAGCUGUGACUUAUAUUUGGGUAUGGUGGCAAACACUUAGGAGGUGGAGAUGACUACAUAAUGAAAUCCAGUCACAAAACACAGAGGGAGCUGGGUAAUCUCAGGUCUUCCCUGAAGCACAGAACCGGAGAGAAGCCCCUGCCUGAUCCUACCUUGAAGCAGAUGGGAUCUUGGUCCAAGCAUCUACAUCAACAACACCAUCUGGAAGAAGAGUUUAUUUUAUUUUGCCCCAAAGCAUUUCUCAAAAGCUCUAUCACCUCCAGCUGA
Non-coding RNA from Peromyscus maniculatus bairdii (prairie deer mouse), 1144 nucleotides. NCBI's taxonomy places the organism in Eukaryota, Metazoa, Chordata, Mammalia, Rodentia, Cricetidae. The record is from RefSeq and is a predicted model, not a curated record.